RNAcentral lists this ribosomal RNA (157 nucleotides) under Cylindrocarpon sp. EF-9. RNAcentral's name for it is "5.8S ribosomal RNA". The stretch from base 1 to 123 matches the Rfam family "5.8S ribosomal RNA", at positions 32 to 154 of the family's 154-position model. Rfam says of the family: 5.8S ribosomal RNA (5.8S rRNA) is a component of the large subunit of the eukaryotic ribosome. Lineage: Eukaryota; Fungi; Ascomycota; Sordariomycetes; Hypocreales; Nectriaceae. The record is from RNAcentral.
AUCGAUGAAGAACGCAGCGAAAUGCGAUAAGUAAUGUGAAUUGCAGAAUUCAGUGAAUCAUCGAAUCUUUGAACGCACAUUGCGCCCGCUAGUAUUCUGGCGGGCAUGCCUGUCCGAGCGUCAUUUCAACCCUCAAGCCCCCGGGCUUGGUGUUGGG